AAACAGUUUUAAGGAGAUAGAGUUGGGAAUGUGGUCAGACAACCAAGAUGUCAACAUUUAAUUAUCCUCAGGAAGCUGUUUACCAGGCUGAAGUUUCUCUUACCAGCUGUCUCCGGCCCGGAGCUGCUGCUGGUUCAGGUUGUCGAUCUCCCGCCACUGGGUCUCUAGUCCCGGAGGCUCCGUAGCCGAACCGGUGCUGCAGUUCGCAGCCAUAAUCACUCAUAAAA
Pimephales promelas (fathead minnow) is the source of this 227-nucleotide non-coding RNA. Lineage: Eukaryota; Metazoa; Chordata; Actinopteri; Cypriniformes; Leuciscidae. The record is from RefSeq and is a predicted model, not a curated record.